Ziziphus jujuba (common jujube) is the source of this 1882-nucleotide RNA transcript. It is a transcript of the gene named protein root UVB sensitive 3, with no coding region annotated. Lineage: Eukaryota; Viridiplantae; Streptophyta; Magnoliopsida; Rosales; Rhamnaceae. The transcript is spliced from 16 exons. The record is from RefSeq and is a predicted model, not a curated record.
UUGAUUUUAGAAACAUUGUUGACAUUGUAGACUGUCCUUCUGAACUGGGGAUCCUCACAAUCUCAACUCGGAGAGUCUGAGACUUAAAACCAGUUCUCCAUGGAAGAUGUAUCAUCAUCAUCAUUAUCAUCUUCAAGUAUUAUAGUGGAAGAGUGGAAUGGGUCAUCUUCCAUCAAGCUCUCUAAAACUGCCACUGUUACAGCCUCUCCUUCACUCUCCAUCCUAAGAUCCAGUAGCCGUUUCCAACAUAUUUGGAGGCGAAUUCUUGAAGCGUUUGUACCAGAGGGUUUUCCAACUAGUGUUACUCCAGAUUAUGUCCGUUUUCAAGUCUGGGAUUUAUUGCAGGGCCUUUCAACUUAUAUAAGGACCAUGCUUUCUACUCAAGCUCUGCUCAGUGCAAUUGGGGUUGGUGAGAAAUCGGCCACUGUGAUUGGUGCCACUUUUCAGUGGUUUUUGAGGGACUUAACCGGAAUGGUUGGAGGUAUUUUAUUCACAUUCUACCAGGGCUCAAAUCUAGAUAGCAAUGCAAAAAUGUGGCGCCUAGUUGCAGAUCUCAUGAAUGAUCUUGGAAUGUUGAUGGAUCUCAUUUCUCCUCUUUAUCCUUCGGCAUUUGUGUAUGUGGUUUGUUUAGGGAGCCUAUCAAGAUCAUUCACCGGUGUCGCAAGUGGAGCCACUAGAGCUGCUUUGACACAACAUUUUGCUCUUCAGAACAAUGCUGCAGAUAUAUCUGCCAAGGAAGGAAGUCAAGAGACAGUAGCAACAAUGAUUGGCAUGGCACUGGGUAUGCUUUUUGCCCGUGCCACUACAGGGCACCCACUUGCUAUUUGGUUUUGUUUCCUGUCUCUCACCUUCUUCCAUAUGUAUGCAAAUUACAAAGCUGUGCAGUGCCUUGCUCUAACUUCAUUAAACCCUCAAAGGAGCUCAAUUGUUUUGCAACAUUUCAUGGAGACCGGCCAAGUUCUCACUCCUAAACAGGUAUCUAGGAUGGAGCAUAUAUUACCUGUAUGGGCAUUUUCGCCGAGCUUGAAGAAUUCUAAGUUAAUAUAUAAGCGAAUACGCUUAGGUGUGAGGGUUUCUUCACUCAAUCACCUGGAACUGACGGACCUGUUGCACAAUGCGGGAUCUCAUUAUAGAAAAGCUAAGUACUUGUUAGUGGAGACAAAAGGAACUAUCAAAGUUAUUGUGCAUAAAAAUUCUAUUGCAGCUGAUGUUUUGCAGUCAUUUGUUCAUGCUCAUGUUAUGGCAUCUCUUAUGGAUAAAAGCAGAUCUUUGCAAACUGAAAGCCAAUCAUGGAUGGAUAGACAGUAUGAAACUUUUCUUCAGAAGCUAAAGUCAUCGGGUUGGAAAACAGAACGACUUCUAUCACCUUCAAUCAUGUGGAAGGCAAAUUGGAUUUCUGGACCUAUGGAUGAAAAGAUUGAUUAGAUAAUAUUUAAUCUAUCACAUAAUAAUCUUAAAGGGAGGUGAAAUUGGUAGCUGGAUUGACAACAAGGCCAUUGAUUGAAUCUUGGUGCUUCAAAGGGAGAAUGUUGUUUAGACAUGGAACAACAUAAGCCUUCAAACAGUCUUUCUUAUUUAUACCUUCUGUUGUUCAAACUCCAUCGUUGAACAUAAAUAAUCUGAAUUCUUGAUAUUCACACAAGUUGAGCAGAAUUCAAGGAGGUGACGAACGGAAUGAGGUCAAAAUACAUAUUUUGGAAAUUCAGAUUAUGGAAACAAUAUGACUGUUUUGGUUUUGGAAUAUUUGGAAGCACCUAAUAAAUAUUGUACAUCUCAACCAAUCAGCUGCACCACUUGCCUGGUGUGUACAAAAUUUAUUGUCUGUAUUUAUAAUUGAAUACUUCAUACAAUUGUAAAGACAAUCAUUGCAGGCGAUUACUCA